Long non-coding RNA from Pelmatolapia mariae (spotted tilapia), 384 nucleotides. RefSeq lists it as uncharacterized. The transcript is spliced from 3 exons. The record is from RefSeq and is a predicted model, not a curated record. Lineage: Eukaryota; Metazoa; Chordata; Actinopteri; Cichliformes; Cichlidae.
UUUAUGUAUAGUUGACCGGGAAAUUAAAGCAGCGAUCACUUGGACUAUUCCACAGCACCCCUCUCACAUUGGUACAUCCCCCCAGGUAUUGUCUUCUACAGUAGAGCGGGACAUUUGAUUUACUCUCAGCGGAAUUGACCGGAGAAGGCAUCAGUUCAUGCACUGCACUGGCCUGCACCAUGAUUAGUAUAAGGCACAUUUCACGAAGCAGAACGCAGUCUUCAGAGAUAUCCACGUGAACGCUGUGAUACGUCUGACCUUCAGUCCGAAGAAGAAACCCAGACCAGUCUUAAAAGAAAGCACAAACCAAAUCCCCUGUACACAUAUACGGACUCAGAGGAUGAGCAGCCUACAAAAAAACGGUUUCCCCAGGCCCCUCGAGUG